GAAAUCACAACUCUCAUUCAGGUGUAAAGUGCACCCUAAAGAUAAUCAAUAAUCACUGAGGGAAACAAGCAGAUGUUACAACAGGUCCAAAAGAGAACCUGGACAGAGCGCCUGAGAGAUCAGGAAUAAAGAUAUGGAUAUACAAAGGAGGCAAACUGAUUUCUUCCAGAGUAGGAACGGAAAGGAAAAUCAAUCGAACCUCUGCCAGACAGGGUAGAAUUUGCAUGUCUCCAGACAAUAAUUUUUUUUUAUUGCUAUCAAUUCCCACAGUUUACAGAAUUGUAAAAUAGCGUAGUUUUCUACUGAAGCACAAAUGAAAGGUGUUACUUUUGCUUCACCUGGAUAAGUGGGAUGCAAAAUGGUCUUCGAGAUUCUGGGGUUUGGGGAAGUGUAGCCUGAGCCUAGCCCUGAGGAGAAUGCUCUGCUGGUUUUGAUUUGGCAGGCGUGGAAUGAAGCUUGGCAUCUGUAUUUUUUAAUAGUUUCAUGUGGCACCCCAUUUGAGAACCAAUCUGUUGAUGUAAGUUAACAUUCAGUUUCCAUCCUAAAGGAGAGCCUAAUUUAAGAAUAAUCCAAACCCUUACCUAAAUAUUUUCUGUAAAAAAAAACCCCCACUUCUAUUGGUUUGAGGUCUAUUCUAUAGUAUUUUGGAGGCAGAAGGUUUACUUUCCCAGUUCUGUUCUAACUCCAGUUCGUUCAGCCAUCCCUAUCAGGGAGACAGUCCUUCAGGUAUGUGGAUCAAGGGGAAAUCCCUACAUGUUCCCGGAUGACUCUGCUGCCUCGGCCUUUUAGAAUAUCCCCUGCUUGUCUUCAAACCCCCGACUCAAGCCAGGUGGCGGAGGGGGCUUCUACCUGGUUAAGGCUGAAGCGAGGGCACAGCUGGCCAGCAGGGGGCAGUGCAGGCUCAGGCUGGUGCCGCUCACACCUGCCUGCCUUCCUCAGCCUGAACAUUUCCUUGUUCGCCUGAGCCUGGAAACUAUGCUUGUCUCAUCAAGGUGUGAUAGAAAGCACACAGUUCAGUUCAGUGCAAUAUAUCCUGAACUUUGCAUGCUACAUAAGUGACCUUGGGAAGUUACUCAACUUCUCUGUGCCCAAGUGUCCUCGUUUGCAAAAUAGAAAUAAUUUUACCCAUCUCUUAGGAAUAAAUAAGAGUAAUACGUGCAAAAAACACUUGACGCAGCGGUUGGCAUACAUUAAUGCUACAAAAUGUUAGCUGUUAUUUUUGUCAUUGUUAGUGUUUACCAGGCACUGUAGGCUCCUGAACGAAUGAGACAGUCCCUUAGAUCUCACAGCUUAAUGAGGCGGAGAGGAAAAUAUGUAAUAUUGUAAAGAAAAAGAUGUGCAUGGUUGUAGAUGGGGUAUGGAGGCAGAAGUAACCAAAACACCACUUACCAGAGGAAGAAGUGCUGGAAGAUGGCUUUUAGGAAUGAAUAAGACAGAGGGGCUUUGGGCUUUGGGAGGCAAGGCAGGGGACAGCAUUCCAAACAAAGAGGGCAGCAAAUAGAAACCAGGAGGUCUGAGAGCUUGAAGGUCAAAGUCUUCCACCGGACCAGCUCUAAGAGAAAGGGAAGAAAUCAAGGAAAAAGAGGAGAGCUAGCCAGGGGCCCAAUCAUGAGGAGCCUUGAAAGUCAGCCAUAUGUACUUGGACUUAACGCUGUGGGUCUCUGGUCUCCAAGCUAGUACACACAAUCUCCACUGCAGUGUAAGGAAAAAAAUAUUAGAACUUCAUUUUACUUGUAAAUAUCAUCUUUGGGGGACUUUCUUUUUCUAUAUCUUAUAUAAGUUGUAAAGAAUAUAUCAGUACAAUAGUACCCAGAUAUAAUUUAUAAGUAAAUGUUUAUAUAUUGGCUUGCAUGCAAGUUUUGUAACAGACUGUGCGGAGCCACCAAAGACGGCUUUUAAUCAGGGAAGUACCUUAGUCAAAUUAGCUGGCCCAAGCCAAGACCUUGGCAUUGGGGAUGGAGAGGAAGUGGAUUUGAGUGCUAUUAAGGAAGUAUAAUUCCAUUAACAAGGAGGAGUGUAUGAUCAGUAAAAGUAGUGCCAAGUAGAGAGCUUGAGGAGCUCAAUAUUAAAUGCUCAGUGCAAGACAAAUACUUGGAGAAUAUCAAGUACCAGAUACUGGUGGCUAUAAGCAUUUUUUAUUACAGCAAAGCUAAGUAAAUUUAAAAAAAUAAGUUAUAUUGGGAUGGUGAAAGUGAACUUGUAUAGAUCAUGAGAAGGCUGCUAGGAAGGAACCAGAUAGCACUCUUGGCUAAGAAGGAUAGGAGACAGGGCCAAUCAUUGCAGAAGGAAGGGAGGCUAUUUUUCUAGAAGGAAGAGACUUAAGCAUAUCUGUAGGCUCAAGAGAAAGGGGAUCAAUGAAGGGAUCAAAAAUAGAAACAGCUUCUCCAGUACGGAUCUCAGGGCCUGCUCUUUUGGCAGUACCUGCCCACUGCGCCCCUCAUCAGAGAAACCCCUCCUCUUGUCCAGUACUCAUUUAGAACGUGAGUUAAAAAGCAUGACUCUUAUACAAAUAUCAAGUGAGUAUAUGUCAAAGAUUUAUUUCAUUUAUCAAUGAUAGAACAGCAGUCUGAGAAAACUGGUUCAGUUGCUAUACUUCUAUAAAAAAGAAAAAAACUGGUUCAGAGGUCAAAAAGACAGAAAGCUAAAAUAAAGGAUGGCCAAGUCAGCUCCCAAACUGGGUAAUGUCUUGCAGGUGGGGUGACCAACAGCCUGUUGGCCUCAGAGCAGUCCCAGUUUAGCACAUAAAAGUUCCUUAUCCUGGGAAACCACUCAGGCCCCAGGCAAAUGGGAGCAGUUGGUCACCCAACCUACAGGGCAAUGAACUACAAACUUUGACACGAUUCUUUCUACUAGACCAGAAAUCAUCCGCAUCUUUUCUUCACAAAAAGCAUUUUCAGUUGACCAAUCUAAAAGACCAUCUAAUUUGAUGGAGCCUGAGAUCAAGAUCAAGGAGUAAGUCAAGCAAAGACACACUGAAUCAGUGACGUAGGAACAGAUCUGUUCCGCAGUGCUCCAUGUAUCACUGAAGACAGGCAGUUAUCCUUUGCCUCAUUUCCAAGUGUUGAAUUUCUUAGCACUCUACAAAAUCAUAACAGAACAGUUUCUAUACCUCAUCCAUAGGCACCAAUUUCUCCAGAGGAAAGAGAAGUUAAGAGCAGACUCUGGGGACUCCUCUUGGUGUAAGCUGUCCACUCGCAUGAUAAUUAUCCCUCCCACAGUAUCCGCCAUUCCCAAAGGUGGCAGAGGGUUUAGAGCCCAGGCAGGUUAGCGCUCAGGCUCAAGGGACUGGGCCCACAUGGAUAACCCAGGAUAAUUUUUCUAUUUUAAGAUACUUAAUCACAUCUCCAAAGUUGCUUUUGCAUGCAAAUUCACGGGUUCCACGGGGUAGGAUGUGGACAUCUUUGCAGGAGGUCAUUGUUUGGGUCACCACACAGCGGGCCAGGUGUUCAGGAGUGGCUUGGCUGGGUGGUUCGUGGCUGUCCCACAAGAUUGCAGCCAGGGUUUGGCUGGGGCUGCGGUCAUCUAGGCUGUAGUGGGGAGGGAGGAUCUGCUCUAGAGGUCAUUCACUCGCUUUGGAGAUAAAGGCUUUACAGGAGUGAUCAAAUUAAAAUGAGGUCAUUAGGAUGGGCCUUAACCCAAUAUGACUGGUGCCAUUAUAAAAGGGGAAAUUUGGAUUUAGAAAUAUGGACAUGCAUAGAGGGAAGACCAUGUGAAGAGAUACAGGCAGAAGACGGACACCUACAAGCCAGCGAGAGAGGCCUGGAUCACCCCUAUGCUCCCAGCCCUCAGGAGGAACCGGCCCUGCUGACACCUUGACCUCAGACUUGUAGCCUCCGGAACUGAGAAAAAACAUCAACCAAACCCAAAUUGAGGAAUGUUCUACUCAAACCUGCCAAGGUCAUGAAAAAUAAGGAGAGCCUGAGAAACGGCCACAGACCAGAUGACGCUCUCAGAUCAGAUUAGAUUCAGGAGAUAGGAGGUAAAAUGGUAUCCUGGAUGGGGUCCUUGAACGGCAAAAGGAGGGGCAGACUUGUGUGGUGGAACCUGGAGCCAGAUAGUAAGACUGGAAUGCCCACUCACCACUCACCACUCACCACUGUGUGACCUCAUUUUCAUCUGUCAGAUUCAAUUGUCAGCUACCGAAUGAGGGCAUAUCCAAGGGGAUGACCUGAUACAGAAGCCACUGUCCCCUUCACACCCCCUGGGCCCUGAAGAUCCUGCGUCAGCUGCGCUAUUUGCAGGACCAUCCUCCCAAAUCCUGUGCUGCUGGUUGGUCUUUGAUCUGUAAACCUGAGUCUGAGCCAGCCAGGUUGAGACAGAGCCAGCCGGGUGGGUGAUCUCAGAGCAGCUGUUUCAUUGUUCUGCAGUUGCUUCCUAGGCCUGGGCCUCCCCAAAGGACAGGAUGGGCCCCCUUGACAGACAGGUGAGGUGCUUAAACAGAUCAUUCACAAAACUCCAAGAACUAAUAAGUGUGUGAAAAGGGACCAUCCUCACUCAAAUAAUAAAAGAACAGAAAUGACAGCGAUACUUUAACACCAUAUUUUUCCCUCUGUCAAUCAGUUUGGCAAAGAUCGUUUUAGAAAAUAAUUCCCAGAGUUUGCAAACAAUUACUGAUAGGAAGGUAAUUGGCCUUUCUGAAAGCAAGCUGGCCAUGUGUAUCAGAAACUGUAAAAAUGUGCAUUCUAGAAUAGAAUAUUCCAUAAAAGGUUCAGGACAAAAUAGGAAUUUAGCACAGGGUAAAGGCGACAUUUCAAAAUAACAAAGAGAAUCUUCUAUUUCUGACAAUGCUGAGGUCAGGAUGAUCUGGAGAACAUCUGGGAAUGUUGGAUAAAAUAUGACACAAUGGCUGACGAAACUCCAAAGAUAAAAAAGGAAUGCCCCAGGAACCAAACAAGGAGAAAGAAGUGAGAACCAGAGCUAAGGGUGAGUUGACAGUGCUGCUGCCCUAGAGGGAACUUUCUGAAGAAUCUAAGGUUCCUGUUUUAAUGUCCAAGUGGCGACAGAACACCAAGCCUAUAGGCUCCGUGGGUAUGGGAAGAAAGUUGAAUCUGAGUCCAUGUAAAGGUGGGAUCCUUGAAAGUCUACAUCUUUCAAGUGGCAGAAAUCAGUCACAAUUACUUCUAACUUCCAGAAAACCCCAUGCUUGCUCGACUUAACUCUUGCAAAGGCCAACAUCAAGAAGAAGGGUCUUAACCUCUGAGAUUCUGUCCACCUAGAGAACCCCUCCUAUAGCAUUCAGUUGAUUCAAGCAGGAUAUGCUGUCCUGACAGUCUGAAAUCCAAGAGGUUGUCAAAAUAAGACAUAUUUGUAUCAUCUGUUCUUCCUAUAGUCUAUCACUGAUCAAUGUGGCACGUCUAUCAGUAUUUGAAAUGUGAUUCUACUUCUAGGAAACUAUCCACAAAUUGCAGGAUGCUCAUAAAA
Manis pentadactyla (Chinese pangolin) is the source of this 5421-nucleotide long non-coding RNA. RefSeq lists it as uncharacterized. The transcript is spliced from 4 exons. NCBI's taxonomy places the organism in Eukaryota, Metazoa, Chordata, Mammalia, Pholidota, Manidae. The record is from RefSeq and is a predicted model, not a curated record.